GAAGUCGAAAUCCGCUAAGGAGUGUG
Molecule: non-coding RNA, 26 nt
Filed under: Arabidopsis thaliana (thale cress)
Lineage: Eukaryota; Viridiplantae; Streptophyta; Magnoliopsida; Brassicales; Brassicaceae
Also listed under: 2 other names
Source: RNAcentral